UCAUCGACACGGUCUGGUGGAGACACAUCAGGAUGAUAUUUUCUUGCCAUUUGUUUAUAAGCUUUCUUUAUGUCAGAAAUUGUCCCACUCUCUUCAAUUCCCAACACAUUGUAGAAACUCUCUGUCUUAUACAACGCCUUAAAACUGGACCUGAAAUGGGCUCUGGAAGUUCUUCCCCAUGGAAUUUUGAUUGGAAUUCUGGAAUUUGCCAACUGGGAACAAAAGGAAAUGUUAGAAUAACAUUUAGGGAUGCGAUUUCUUGUUUGUCUGUUGGGUGUUGAACAGAAAUGAAACCGGGUUUCGAAACCUGAAACCACUGCACAGCUCAUUCUUUUGCUUUUCUUUUUCGAGAUUUUAGGUUUGCCUCUACAGUUUUCUACUUCAAUGAUUCCUUGCCUUUGAAUGUAUCUCUCCCAAAAAGUGCAUAUAUAUAUUUGUAAAUUCAGAAUUUGGCGUAUAUAUUUCUGGGUGAGAUGUUUCCAAAAAAGUAAGAACGAAUUUUCCUUUUUUUUGUUUUUUAUUUCUUUUGAGUGUUUGGUCCAUAGACUCCCGACGGAAAGCUUUCGGGUUUUCCCGUUACGUUGCUUUCACAUUUUAGGGUUAUCGAUUUUUCCAACAAAAUUUGACCGCAUUUUCUAAAACUAAUUUUUAACUACAUAUCUUCCAAUAACGUAAAUUUGCACGUAAUAUUUUUACUUUUUGAAUAUCUAUUUAUUUGAUAAUAAUUUAUGAAAUGUAUAAUUCAAAAUUUAUAAAACUAGUCAAAAUUGAACUUGCAUUGCACGUUAUUCUAAAAUACUUUAUAAAUAAUGUAAAAGUAAUAUUUGAUAUCAAUUUGUUGGCGAAUUUGAUGAAUCUGACGAAUUAAAGAAAAUAAAAUUUAGUAUAGAAAUUUAAGAAAAGACAAUUGUACUCUCAAAACACAAUUUCUAUUAUUCAAAUUUUUUGUAAUAAUGAAAUAUUAUAAAUGAGCAAUAUUUUUAUAUUACAUUUGAUACAUAAAAAUUAAUUGUUAAUACAUAAACUUAAACACCCAUUAAAAUUUCUAGGCACAUGAAUUAGAAUAAAUUCAUCUAUAAUAAUUCUAGAUUCAUAAAAUUCAAGAUUCAUCAACUAGAAAUUCAUUGAAUUUAUGUUAAUGUGAAUGUAAUUAAUUAAGAAUUAAUAACACAAAUUUCAUAAAUGAUAAUAAUUAUUCAGUAUUUAUCACAUAUCGAAAAACGAAAAGUAAGGUAUUAUUUAAAUAAUUAAAUUAUAGGAGGGUUAAGAUCGUCCAAAAAAUGAUUCUCACUUGAUGUGAUAUUUUUUAUAUAUUAUAGAUUAUGAAUUUCAUAAAAUAUAUAACUAAAAAUAAGAUUUUUCAUUUUAACGUAAAUUCUUCUUUUAACUAAAAAAUCACCGUCAAGCCCAUCGGUUGUCCCAAGGCAGAGCUCCCAGUUUGACGUCGGCCACCCAAAAGUUUAUGGUUUUCACAAGUGCCUGGUUACAAGGGGCAACGUGACAGUUAUUUGAUUCAAAAUACAAGAUAUUGUUUAUUUCUUAAAUCUUAUAUUUUCUUAAAUUCAUUUUCAAUUUCACAUUUAGCCCCUGUUUGGCUUCCAUUCUUUCCUCAUUAAAAUGAAAAAUAUGAUCGUUAUCCAUUACAUCAAACCACCAAAUUUGAAUUUCUAUUUAUUGUGUGGGGUCUGUAAUAACUAUAUUUUUCAUUCUCAUUCUUCCAAAAAUGAGAAACAAACGGAGGCUUAAUGUGAUUCACAAUUUUUAUUAACUUUUUAAUUAUACAUUUCAUUAAGUAUUGUGAAUUUGUGAGUUGUAAGUAUCUCAAAUAAAUACAUAUAAAAAUAAAAAUAUUAAUAAUAAAGGGUAAGUAGAAUAUUUGUGUCUAGUCUAGUAGUAAGCACGUUGAUUCCAAAACAUCCACGAUCGUGAGUUGCGUGGUCAGUGUGUCACAAACGAGACAGAGCAUCUUAAUUUUGUAUAUCAUGUUGAGAUAGCGUCUCCCUUUAAUCCCGAUGCAAUGAGAUGGUGAAGAUGGUCAAGAUCUCCAUAUUGGAAGGGUGAUUUGGGUAAAAAUUGUGUUGGUGUUUGCUUCUUUCAUUGCAAGGUACACAGAUUCUACUAGCGUAUGAUAAGGAACACGAUUCCACAUUCUAUUCCAUAUUCUAAUAAAGGUGGUUCUAAUGAUGAUUGUAGUAUAUGAUACGGAGCACGAUUCCAUAUUCUUGAGGAAUGUCCGAGGAAUUCUCCAUAAAUUCUCAUUUUUAUUAAUUAUAAUGGUAAUUCCAUUGGGAAAAUAUUUAUUCUAAACUAGCUAAAAGAAAAAGGCACCCGGACUGGUUGGUCAAAACUUCCUAACCGAACCGUACCCGAAAAGAAUUAAACUGAACCGGGCAAUUAUUUUUAAGUUAAUCGAAAAUCAACGGAUUUGAUUCGAUUCUCGACUAUAGACUAAGAACUGAAUAAUCGAAUAAGAAUCAAAUCUCCCCAAUUUUUUAAUUUUUAUAUUAAAUGAGCCAAAUUAUUUUAAAUUUUUCUAAAUAAUUUUGCCAACUAAUUAAUUGAGUCCAAAAAGAUCAUUUUCCUAUAUUUAUUUGUCAACUAAUUAAUUUAGCCCAAAUCCAAAUUAUAAUAUUUCUAGAUUUGAAGGCUUGAAGCAAAUCAAUGAGAUGAAAUCAUCAAAUUUUAUUAUUUACCUUUUAGUAAUUUGUACUCCCUUCGUCUAGUUUAUAUAGGUUUUUUUUUUUUUUUUUUCACAUAGAUUAAGAAAUCUUAUUAAAUGUCAUUGAAAAAGCAAAUUUUGCCAAAAAUUUUUUUAGUUUACCCUUAUUUAUAUCGUAAGUGAAAAAAAUUACAUAUAACUUGACAAAUUAAGUAAUUGUAUAUUAGUAAACGAACAAAACAAAACAUUCUCAAUAAAGAAACAAAAUUAUAUAAUUGGGAAAAGAAAAUAAGAAAAUGUAGCCUAUAUAAAUGUGACGAAAGGAGUAUACAUUGAUGAAUAAAUCUUAUUAGACAACUUGUUAUUUGUAUAAUUUUAAAUUGGACUAUGUUAUUUUAUAAUAGAUAAGAUUGAACAUAUUAUUAGUUGAAUUAAUGUAGUGUUGUUGUAAAUAUUAAAAAAAUAAUAAUUACGAUACAAAACCCAAAAACCAAACCAAACCAAACCAACCCGUUUGGUUCCAAAAUUAAAUUUGGAUCCGACAGCUUCACUUAUUAAAUAUUCAAAAAUUCGGGUUUAAUUCGAUUCUCUUUAAAACUGAAUCGAAUCGGACAACGUCUAGCUCUAAGUAAAGGUUUCCAUUUGCAUACUGUGCAAUUUUCACAAUUUGAAAAGGCAAGGAAUUUGGUAAUAAUUCCUUGGCAAAUGAAAUUUGGAAGAGAAAUUAGAUCAAAUUGUAGUACUAGUUGUCCUAUAUAUAAUUAGCAUUAUCAAUCAAUCUGACCUCAAAGAAACCAUGGAAUCCAAACUUAGAGAUCUCACCUACCUACCUCGUGGUCAAAUUGCGGUGUGGAAAUUUCCCUACAAGUGUGUACUAGUAGGGAUUGGUUAGGAUAGCCUCCUCCAAAUCAAUCAACUUAAUUGUCAGCUCACCCAUAUGUAUCCUUGUUGAUAACGAAUCCAAUAUAAUCAAUAGUAAUUAUGUUUACAAUAAAAUCUCAAUACUCUCAACUAAGAUUUAAAACUUUCAAAAUGUUGCUUGAAUGUUAUGUUAUCAGUACAAGUCGUAGCUUAUAUAUAUAAAACCCUAGAAACUAAGUUGAAGAUAAAUAGGAAUCCAAAACACGUUAAAACGCAAAACUUUGAAACUUCGUCGCUCAAGGGCGGGCGAAUGACGGUUCUCCGUAAAAAAAAAAUAAUAAUAAUAAAAAAAAUGUUGGUGUUGCUUGAACGACAGGCAAGAGAUGGGCAAGUAACGGUUCUCUGUAAAAAAUCUAUUGGUGUUGCUCGAGCGGUUAGCUAACGAUAGGCUAGGGAAAAUGCAGCGAUUUUUCUUCCCAAUCCAUGAUUUUGAUUUUUUCAUGGCCACUUUAAAUGCAACUUCAAUACUCACUAGAAUUUGGGUACUUUACAACAAUACUAAUAAUGCUAGCUAGUACUAACUGUUUGAGAAAUCCAGCCUCUCGUUAACUAAUUUUUUAUGUGCCAAAUAUCGUAUACAGUUAUAAAUUAUCAAAAUUAUUAUAUGUGCAUAAUAAUGAGCAAAUCAUAACUUACUGAUAUUCAAAAAAUGUAUAUAGAAAUUAGAACGAGUAAAUAAAGCAAGGUAUAUGACUGCAAACAUCCUUAAGACAAAUUUAUCUCCUUACAUCGGUGCUAAUUUGAUGAAAUGGAUGUAUGUCUUUUAAUAUAUAACGCUUUUUCCAAAAUUAAUAUGACACAAUAUAAUUUUUAUUGAGUGAACCAAAAUUUGACUGUACUUUUCAUUGACAGAUUAGACCCAAACUAAAAUUUCUCGGACGAAAAUUUUUAUUUAAAAAAUAAAAAGAACAGAAUAUUUUGAAGAAAGAAGAGAAUUAGAAAUUAAUUUUUCUUAAAUUGGUUUGAUAUAAGAUAUUUGAAUUGGGGAUUCCUACAUUUAUAUUUUCAAGCAUCUUUUCAAAAAUGAUUGCAUCUUUUGACCAAAAAUUAAAAAUAAAAAUCAUUAGGGCAAUCAAAUCGCACCAAUUUCAUAUUUAGUGGUCUAGACAUCACAUUAUAUAAUUUUUCUCCGAUUGAGGCAUCUUCACUCCAGAACCUUGUUAGUUCAUAAUAAUAUAUCUUCUUAAAAUCCACUUGAAUGAACCUUUUGAAUAUAUGAACUUUGGCAAUUAUAUGUAUAGAAACAUUAUCUUUUAAAUAAAGGCAAAUAUUAACAAUUAUGCAGGAAAGCACAAAAUGUAAUUAGUAGAACAGAAAUUGAUUGAAAAUACAAUUUUGUUUCUUGUAAGUACUCAUAAUGUUAUUUUAAAAAUCCCAAUUAGAAUUGCUGCACCUUUAAUAAUUCUAAUUAGAAUCUAAACAAAUUCAAAGUGGAGUCAUGUUUACGUACCACCAAAAUACACGGUUCAUUCUCAUCAGAUUUCAUUGCCGACCAGUGGCAAAGCCACUAGUUCUGUUAGUCCUAUAUUAAAACAGAAUUUUAACAUUGAAACAGAAUAUAAAAAAGUGUUGGAAGUGGUUGACUGGUUGUUCAAAAUCAACCAUAUAUGGAAUAAACGGAAAAAAAAAAAAAAAAAAGGCUACCAUAGUUUUUUAACUUAAACCAUGUGACCGCAUUGGCAUAAUGCCCAUGCGGUCGCAUGGGUACUUACCGAAACUUGGAGGCCCUUGUGCAACUGAACAAUGCGAUUACAUGGUUUUGUACUAUGUUGUCGCAUGGUAUAACAAGGUGACCGUUGGUGGCAGUUUCUUAAAGUUUCUGAAUGUUGGAAACUCGAAUUUGAUGGCCUUUCAUGUAUAAUUUGGCACCAUUUUGUGUAUGUAGAUGAGGUCUAUAUAUAGUGGAGCAAUGUUCAAGCCAAUAUAAGAUAGAAAAAUGUCUUGAGAUUUAUUCCAAUUCACAUAAAAGAUCAUAUCCCUUUUUUCCUCUCAUAUUUAUUUAUUUAUUGUGUUCUACAAGUUUUGGCAGAAAAUUUCUUGUGCUUUAUUAUUUUCUGCAUUAAGGCUUGUUAUAAUCUUUCAAACCAUUUGUCGGAAUACCUUUAAACAUCUUGAAAACACCGGAGAAGGGACAAAUAAUGUGGAUGGAAAUCAAGAGAUUCAAAUGGGCAACAGUUCGAUCCCAAGGUUAUUGAAAGGGGAAAUGUUGAUAUCAUCUUCACUUUCGGAAACAUCGUUACCCUCAAAAAUUUACUACAUGUUCCGGAUAUGAAUAGGAAUUUGGUUAGAGGAAAUCUCUUAGGAAAAUCGGGCAUUAAAAGUGUCUUUGAGCCUAUAAAAUUGUAUUGUCCCUAAACGAAAAAUUUGUUGGAAAAGACUAUUAUAGUGAAUGAAUGGUCAAACUUUGUACCAUUGACAAUGAAAUAAAUAAAACUGAUUUUGCUUAUAUUGUUGAUUUAUUUUCAUUAUGACAUGUUAGAUUAGGACAUAUUAGCAAAAGUACUAUAAAAUGUAUGAAAAAAUGUGACCUGAUUUCAUAUGAUAAAAAUAAUGAAUAUAAAUACAAAACAUGUGUAGAAUCUAAAAUGAUUAAAAAAUCAUAUCAAAGUGUGAAAAUGACCUCUAGUAUCUUAGAAUUAAUUCAUACAUUUAUAUGCUUGUAUGUUGAUGACAUGUUGAUUAUAAGUAAUCAUAUGGACGGUAUAGAAGAAACGAAGAAGUUUCUAUCUUUCACAUUCAAGAUGAAAAAUCUAGACAGGUGGAUGUCAUUUUAGGUAUCAAAGUCACAAAAACUACUGGGGAUUACCAUCUAAGUCAAUCACAUUAUAUCGAGAAUGUGAUAAAUAAGUUCAAACAUUUGAACAUAAAAUAAUAUAGUACCCCGAUUGAUCCAAGUUCAAAACUUGAAAGAAUGUUGGAAGAGUGAUUGCUAAACUUGAAUGUGCUAGUGCUAUAGAAAGUCUCACGUAUGCAAUUCAAUGCACAAGGCCGGAUAUAGCCUAUGUAAUAAGUAAACUUAUUAGAUUUACUAGCAAUCUAAGCAAUGAUCAUUGGAAGGUCAUUGGGAAAAUUCUUAGAUACUUAAAGAAAAUCAAGAAUUUAGGCCUUCAAUAUACUAAGUUCCCGACAAUAUUAGAAGGAUUUACCGAUACUAGUUGGAUAUCUAGCACGAGUGAAAUUGAAUCCACCUCGGGCUGGGUGUUUACUCUUGGAGGAGGUGCUAUUUCUUGGAAAUCAAAAAAAAAAAAUAUGCAUAACACACUCGACUAUGUAAUUAGAAUUUAUAACCCUCUAUAGGAAAAGAGGUUGAGUGGCUUAAGGAUCUCUUUUAUGAGCUAUCUUUGGGAUCGAAAAAUAUUUCUUUAAUACCUAUCAUGUGUGAUAGUCAAAGCACAUUAGCAAAAGCAUACAAUGAGGUCAAUUGAUAAUUUGACGGAUCCUUUGACUAAACCUCUAAAUAGAGAUUUAGUAGCAUCUAUUUCAAGUAGGAUGGGGUUAAAACUCCUUAACUAAAAAGGUCUACCAGCAACCCUCCUGUCAUUAGUGAAAAGGUAAUCCAUAGGUUUAAAGGGUAACAACAAGUCAUUCAAUAUGUGGGUAGUUACAACAUUAUUCAAAUCAACAAUGAUCAUAUCCUAAUUAAAAUAAUGCUGGUUAUUACUGAAAUGAGAGUUGAGCGUUAAGCUCUUAAUGAAGUUCAGUGCUAAAACACAAGUAUUUGUAAAAGUAACAAAGGUACUGGAAGAACUUUACGGAAACAAACUUCGAGGUGGUGCUGCCUCAAUAGAAAGUUGAAGUUUCUCUCUUAAAAGUUUGUUUAAUAGAAUGAGCGCAAGAUCAUAAAAGCGCUAAGCGAGUAAUGAGGAAUUUGAGAACACGUGGUAUUCGUGUGUGUGUUCUUGCUAGUAUUGUCACAUGGAAUACUUGGUUCAAAGCUUCACGCUACCUUGGAUUUCGACUUUACAUUGUUUGAAUUACACUAUGGUUUGAUUCAAAUCGAAAGAUAUCUAAUCUUUAUGCAUGAGUAUUGUAUAAUUUUGAAUAUGAGAACUUGUUAAUUUUGAACAAGUGGGGGAUUGCUGAAGUGUUUGUUCAAAAUCAACCAUAUGUGGAAUAAACGGACAAAAAAAGGCUACCAUAGUUUUUUAACUUAAACCAUGCGACUGCAUAGGCAUAAUGCCCAUGCAGUCGUAUGGGUACUUACCGAAACUUGGAGGCCCUUAUGUGGCUGAACCAUGCGACCACAUGGCUUUGUACCAUGCGAUCGCAUCGUAUAAACAAGGUGAUCGUUGGUGGCAGUUUCUUAAAGUUUCUAAACGUUGAAAACUCGAAUUUGGUGGCCUUUCAUGCAUAAUUAGACACCAUUUCGUGUAUGUAGAUGAUGUUUAUAUAUAGUGGAGCAAUUUUCAAGCCAAUAUAAGAUAGAAAAAACAUCUUAAGAUUUAUUCCAAUUCACAUAAAAGAUCAUAUCCCCUUUUUCCUCUCAUAUUUAUUUUAUUUAAUGUGUUCUACAAGUUUUGAUAGAAAAUUUCUUGUGCUUUAUUAUUUUCUGCAUCAAAACUUGUUAUAAUCCCUCAAACCAUUUGUCGAAAUACCUUUAAGCAUCUCGAAAACAUCGGAGAAGAUGCAAAUAAUGUUUGAGGACAGCAAUCACGCGUUCAAGCCUUCAAAAAUUUUCUUAAUAAUUUCCUAAUUCUUAAUCUUGUUUGCAACAAUUUUUGCGUUAUAUCUUUUAUUUCUUCUCCACCAGUUCCAUAUUUACAACAAAAAGCACAAUAAAAAAUCUGCCUCAAGAUUGUUGAAAAAAAUUGGCACACAAAAUUAUAUUCUGUUUACUAAAACCACUAUAUCCCUCCAUUUCAAAUAGGAUCAUGAUCUAAUGGUCUAGAUCGCACCCUAUCAAAAGGUCGCGACUCUUCAUUAUAAACAUUUUACACUUGAAAAGUCGCACCUAUUAAAAACUUAUUCCAGUUCACAUGUUUUCAUCUACCCAUACAUACCAACGCUAACAAAUUGUAAAGGAGUGAGAAGACAAGACAACUUUUUUACAUAUCAGUUUGAGGAAGUGUUUGUGCAAACAACUGAGGGUUAUGCUUCUGGUAUAGUUGGUUACCAAUGCGGUGCUGGAGGGCAUUGCAGAUGUGAUAUUUGAAGACAAGAAGGUGACCAAAAAAAAAAAACAGUGAGACAUUAUUCCAUCAAGUUGCAAGGAAGAUACGGUUGAAAAGGAUGACAAGCACUGGUCGGGAAUCGAGUAUAGGAUUUCUAUUCUAAGUAUUGAGUAUCGACACACAAAGAUUGGAUCCUACUCGUGCCACAGAAAAUAUCAUCAGGACACAAAAAAGGGGAAGCAAAUAUUGAGUGGACUAAUUUUCCCUUCAUUAAAAGUCGUGUUCGUGAGGUGACUUGACAUAAUGCAUGUUUUGGAUGGUAUCCGUUUUAAUCUAAUAAUUUCAUAGAGGUUGGAGACAAAAACCAAAGAAAUGCAAUUCAUUCUUCUAUCUAGUUUAUCGGAUCGAAGAUGCGGAUAUACCUAAUAAUUGUUUGUUUGUUGGAUAGAAUAGAAUAGAAUAUAUCUGAAGAAAAAAUAUAUGUAUAAAUAAUUUAUAAUUUACUUUUCAAAAUCAAAUAUUAAUUUUAACAACAUAUUUAUCCCCUAUUUGGUGAUCAUUAUUGUAUAGAAAUAAUGUUUUGAAUAGUGAUUUUUUAAAAUUUUUUUUAGGAACGCAUGAUUAAAUAGUGAGAAAAUAUUUUAGAUUUACAUGCAAAAAUAUGUUAUUGUGUGAAUAUAUUAUUAGAAAUGAGUAUGAGAUAUAAUUUAUUUUAUUUUAGAGGGAGUCAAACAAUGGAUUAGCAGCACCUACAAGGCUACAACCAAUAUUCUGAAAUACAUAAUGUGUGACAAUACGUUUUGAUCAAGUAUCAAGUAUUGCAAAAAUAUACGUGUUUAUGCAAAGCAUAUAAGUAAUUAAACAUUUAUCAAUUUUUUUAAUAUUAUUUUAAAUAUUCUAAACCAAUAAAUAUAAAAAUAAUGCAAUUUUUAAGCUUUAUAUGUAUUUUUCAAAUUUGUAAUAUAUAUACACACACACACAAAAUUACUUAUUCUUCAAUUUUUUAACAAAAACAUAAUGUUUAAUAUCAUAUGUACUAUAAUUCUUUGGUAAUCAAUUCUUAUGAUUAGAUUAGACACGAACAUCGACUGAUAAAAAAAAAAAUACAUAUUUGCUAACUCUUUAUCGAAUUCCAAUUCAAACUUCUCUUCAUCCAAAUAAUCUUUUAUGUCAUCUGAUGCAAAAUUAUUUUCAUCGGGCUCCCUCAUUCAACUUGUGAUUUUUAAUACAUUUUAAGAUGGUAGGAUAUGUAUCGUUUAUGUAUCGUUGUUAACCUCGUCCUUCUCAUCACAACCAUCAACAAUCAUUCAUUACUAGCAUCACUUUCUUGUGAGACUAAAGAAAGACCAAAGGAGGAGGAUCGGUUCAGCAUAGAUAGUUUAUAAAUCUAUGAAAAAUUUAUUAUGAUUUAAAUUUUUUUUUUUUCUAAAUAUCAAAAUCCUACAUAUUGUUGUACAUAAUUAAAGGGCUUUGGUGAUUUGGUCUAAUUUAAUGUUUAUUGUGCUCAAUUUGCUUUUCUGAAGUUAUAAAAAUGCGUUAAAUUUUGUUAGGCUAAUUUUGAUACGAUUUUUAACACAAAAUGCGUGCGUAGUUUGAGGUUUAAGCGUGUAUAUGCGGUCAAGAAAAUGAGUUGACUGAUUUAUCACGUGCAUACUCCAUAUGCGAGGGAUUUCGAAAAAGUAUCGAACUUAUGCAAGUAUAUGUGAAAUAUAUGUGCAAAUUUUAGAACACUACCUACAACUACUAAUAUAUUUAUUCACCAUUUUUUUUUUACAUUAUAAUUUUAGUAACUUAUAAUUUCAUCCAAACAUAAGCAAAAUAUUUGUUCUUUAUAACAUCAAAGUGAUUUGCUGAAUUUCAUUUGAUAUUAACAAAAAAAUUAGUGAUUGUUUAGUUGUGAUUUUGUUAAUUGAUUUUUUGAUCGUUAGAGCGAGAAGAAUUCAAAAAUAAUAAUUGGAAUAGUGAAAUAACGAUCAAAAAAUUAAUUUUAAUUGACGUUUAAACUGUACCAAACAAUCUCUUAAUAUUUUGACGCAAGAUGACAUUGGAUACUAGGGAUAAUAAACAUAUUUUGUGGGAUCUGGGAAACUGGGUAAGAAGGACCUUAUGGGGCUCACCUGGAAUUUUAGUACAUGCAUUUGCACCGACUUUUAAGAUUCCUUUGAUAUGACUGCAGAAAAAUCAAAAUAAGUUUAUGAAUACUAAGUUACUUUUAUAUUUAUUUGAUUAAUUUUGUAACAGCAAUUCUUUUAAUUAAAAUAAUUUUUAGAAAAAAAUAGGCACAAUAUAUCUUCCUCUAAAGUUCUUCUUAAAAAAAAAAAAAAAAAAUUCUUUUGGAAGUUUAUUUUCAACCUUUGGAAUGAUGUCAAGCAAAAGAAAAAGUAAAAAUCUUGUUAAAUGGAUCCUAAUUGUCUGCUAAGGAAGUUCAUAAUGCAAAAUGAUGACAACAUUAUAACAUAAAAAAAAUAGUUACUAUUUCAUUUUUAAUACUAUUAAAUAUACUGUAAAUGAGUGUGUAACACAUUGAAUUAUUUAAAAAUAUGAUGGAAGGUGUUUUUUAAAAUUUUAAAUAAUAAAUAAAUAAAUAUGAGUGAUGAAUAAGUGAAUGAAUUCCUCAAAAUAUAUGAAUAAAAAAGGACUUAUACAAUUAUAAACAAUUUAUAAAUAUUAACCAAAUUUGGAUUAAUGUUAUCAAUCGGCAUGAAUCACAGGCAUGAAGAUGGUUCCAAGAAAAUAAUGGAUAAAGUUUCCAAUUUCCAUUUUCUUGACGUAAGUGUGCGGUCCACACUCCAUCCAGAGAGAUCUUUUGUCUUUUCUAUGAAAACGACUCGCAAGUUGCCACGGUUCAUUAAUGAUUUUAGCACUGCAAAGAUGAUGAUAACUAUUGGUUAUAUUGAAUGGUCUGUGCUCUCUGUAUCUAUUUUUACCUCGAUAGGGUUAAAAAUGUUGAAGGUUAUUUUAGUUUUAAAGGUGUUUUUCUGUCGUCGUUGAACUUCAAAUAGUUUCGAUUACUAUAAUUCGAACCUUAGAUGUCACAUUUGUCAUUUCGUCUGUUGUUCAGAAGUUCAUGAUUUUAACGAUGUGACAAAUGAAAUUGUUAAUUUUUCAAACGAUGUUUAAUGACAAAUGAAAGAAUGAUGUUAGAGUACAGCGACAACAAAGAAACGAUCUGGAAAUUACGGUGGAAAUAAUUUUGAAGUUCUUGGGAAGAAUGAUUUUGAAAUUAUAGUAAAUCAAUGACAAUUAUUCAAUACAUUGUAGAGGACUUAGUAUAACUUAAAAAGUAAAUCCCGUAGGAAUCUGGGCCGUGUCUCCCAGUGUAGUUAAUCAUCCUCUCGAAUCAACUACUGAUCAUUGCCUUUGGUAAAUUAUUGCCUCAUCAACUAGCAAUCAGACGCAAGUCAACGAACAAAUAUAUCAAAGGUGAGUUCGCAAUGGACAGUGAGAGUCGGCACCAUAAUAAAAGAAUAGUCAGUUCCUAAUACGCUUAGCUGUAUCAGAUGUGCGAGGUGCGUGUUGAUCCGAUAAUUGGUUCUCGAUCGAGAGACAAUGGAGUGGCAAAUGAAUUAUUGGCCCAUUGGAAGAGCCAAGCAGUAAGUUGAGAUAUAGCAGCUGUAGUAAUUAAUAAUAAUAAGGAGCCUCCAGGGCAUAUCUCCCAGUGGCAAAGGAGAGGGCGGAUAGGGCUGAGCGCGACAGUGUGCAGAGUUCGAUUCCCCACAAAGUGGAAUUAACUUUGUUGCAAGCGGGAGUUACCAUAUGGGUUAACAGGCUUGGCCUAUUCACGUGCUCUCCACCCUGGCUCCUGGGAGGUACAUCCUGCGAUUUACCUCCUCCACGAUGGCCCAAGGCAAGAUCGGUGGGGGCCCUUAAGGUUAGGGUUCAACCUUUUUUUUUUUUAAUAAUAAUAAGGUAAUAAAAGUACAAAUCUGUCCCGACUGGUGUCGGCCACUGGGAAUUUGCUGGUUUUAAACAAAGUACUGGGGACCAGUUUGUUAAGGUAAAAUAAAAAUUUCAAAGAAAAAAUUGGGCAAGGAUUCACAGAUUGAAUUGUAAAUCAAAAUUUCAAGUAAAAUUUGUUGUUGGCACUAUCCUGGAUAAGAAACGCAGUUUCAGUCCCAUGAAUGAUAUGUGGGGUCUCAGAAAUGGAACUGGAUAAGAACUAGGUUAUCCAUACGCAUGCCUACGUUGGACUCCAACUGUCACAUGGGUCAAGUGACCACAAUUUUUUGAUUUACGGGAUGUCAAUUGAAAUUGAAACCUUACAUUUUUUAGUACCAUUUCGAAGUAUUUACGAUCUAAUUUUUUGUUCGUUAAUGGCGUACAAAACAAUCAAUUGUAGCAAAAUUUACGGCGUGUCAAAAUAUGCUACUUCAAACUAGUAUUUCAAGAAUUUCGAAAAUAUGCUAACUUUAAAAAUUUGUCGACGAUCGUACAUUAGUCAAUUCCACAAAAAUCGUCCAUGUCAUUUAGAAACUCAUUUCAAGAACUAUAUCCUAAUCACAUUGAAUGAUCCAAACGAAUAUAAAAAUAGUUAAACGUCUAACUCGUAUUUUUUUUUUAAAUUUUUGCACAACAAAUUCGUCAAUAUAAUUUGCAUCAUUUUAUUAGAAAAUUUUACAUGGAGUAUGAUGUUAAAAUUUUAGGAUUGUUACAUGUUAAAUGUAAUUUGAAUUACUUUCGAAUUACAUUUACAUUUCAUUUACUUCCUAAAUUAAAUUUGAAAUUGAUUCCAAUUCAUUUACUUCCUACAUUCAAUUUAAUUUACUUGCCCUCAACUCAAAAUUUCUCAAUGAGGUGGCAAACAAAACUAUACAAAUAGUAAAAUUCAUUUGAUAAUAUUAAUAAUGAUAUUAUUAUGCGAUAUUUUCAAAUUAUCAAACUGUAUAGGAUACAAUUGUAAUAGUUUGUUGACUUUUUUUACAUUAGUAAUUAUGUUUAUAAAAAAAUUACAUCUUAAUUUUUGACCUGACAAUAUAAAAAGUCUAAGUUCACCCUUGCCGCAAAGUCGUGCAUUUUUGCUUCGUGUUAUCUAAGUUAAGCAAGGUCCAUUUCAUAAGACUUUUGAAAAGUUAAAAAGUUCUUUUAACAUUAAGAAACUACUUUUGAAUAUGUUUGAACCCUAAAAGUGUUUUGUUUGAAGUUGCUCAAGAAACUUUUAUACAAAAAGUAAAGCAAAAAAACAGAAGUGCAAUCAAAUGAAUUCAAUUUUUUUAACCGUCCAUUCACACAGCACCGCAUGUAUUUUGUAGAAAAAACUUGUGAAACUAUUCCGUACUUGUAGCAUAAUUUUAGUCAGAGACGGAUUUAGGGGAAGCGGGGAGGGCUCCCCAGCCCACUCAGGCCAAGAGUUUUUUUUAAAGGUAUUUUUUAUUUUUAUUUUAAUAAAAAAUCAGUUUUUAUGUGUAAAAAAAAAUUUUCUCGCGUAGUAACCCGAUCUUAGAUCCAAUUCUAGAUCCGUCCUUGAUUCCAGUCUAAUGGUCAAAUUUAAUAUUGUAUUAUUUUAUUCUUUAUGCUAAAAAUACCAUAAAACACUUUACUGAUUCAAACUGUGAAUAGCUAAAAUGCAUAUGUGGAGCAGGAAGUGAUUGGUAAUAUAUUUAAUUAGUAAGAACAGAAAAGAUGGAAUAUACAUUGGCAAAAACUAAAAUAAAAAGCAUAAAUUAUCCUAUUGUAAUUAAUUAAAUCUAAGAUAAAAAAUAAAAAUAAAAAUGGGAUUUCAUCUUCGACUACGCAUUCGAGCACCCCAUGUCAUUCUUCCUCCUGAAUCCCUUUUUCUUUGCUUCAAUUCAUUCAAUUGAGAUUGCCACCUCAUUUUCCACUCUCCAUUUCUCUGUUUCAGAUGGAAAAAUAAUAAUUAAAAAAGAAAUCCAGUAUAUUUCUUUCACAAGAUUCAUAACUUCUGAAUUAAUAAGAAAAAUUAGUUACCUGGUUAAACUCAUAUCCUCUUCCAGCAGAGAAAUUAAAGCCCAAUCCAUUAGCUAAAUCUUGAUCGUACAACGCUCUGGUGUGUGGAUCAGAAAGGGUUUCAUAAGCCUCCUUAACCAGUAUAAAUCUCCUGGUGUUUUCAUCGACACGGUCUGGUGGAGACACAUCAGGAUGAUAUUUUCUUGCCAGUUGUUUAUAAGCUUUCUUUAUAUCAGAAAUUGUCCCACUUUCUUCAAUUCCCAACACAUCAUAAAAACUGUUUGGAGCAUGAAAUGCCUUCAAACUGGCUCUGCACCCUCUGUUUCUGGGUAGCCCAGAUGGAGUUUUGAACUGAAUCCUGGAAUUUGUCAACUGGGAACUGAAGGAAAUGCUUGAAAAACUUCCAGGGG
Molecule: long non-coding RNA, 15005 nt
Filed under: Olea europaea (common olive)
Lineage: Eukaryota; Viridiplantae; Streptophyta; Magnoliopsida; Lamiales; Oleaceae
Description: long non-coding RNA (OEUR_LNC007768)
Source: RNAcentral